GAGAGAACAUUUGUUUGGACUGCCAAGUUAAAUCUUCCUCCCUCAUGUCAGGGCAUUGGAAAAGCAGUCAGGGGAGAGGGGAAGGGGGAGAGCGGGGGAAGCAGCGGCGGGAGGGAGAGGGGAGGGAGGGGAGAGCGAGGCGGGCAGGCUCAGAGCCCCAGUUACUCGGGCACUGCCUGCCCAGGAAGCUGAGGCUCCCAGGCAGAGCAGCCUCGGCUCCCGGCACCCAAGCAGGGACCCGGCCGCCAGGCCUCGCUGAUCAGCGCCGGGUGCCCGAAGCCCUGGGGCCCGGUCCUCAUGUAUUCGCUCUGCGCCCAGCUGGAAGGGCGAGGUGGAACAGGAAGGCCGGGAAGGGAAAAGUUUGCGACAGGUAGAGAGACGCCAGGAAUGUGAAACAAGCUUCCAGAGCCCGCCCCAUCCACGACCCCAGCUCCAGCCCCGGCCUGGCCCCACAACCUCCGCCCCGGGGCCAGCCUCCCACUCCCCGGGGGCCACCGCCGCCGGAGACAGAGGAAGAAAGAACACGGGGAAAUUACUUUCGUAUUUGCACCGCGCGCGGGCGCGCACACGCGCACACACACACACACACACACACACACACACACACGCGCGCACAUCUUCCCUCUGGGUUCUCCCGGCUGGGGCAGCCCCAAUCAGGCGUGGGCCCGAAAGCCCCUCGGGUUUCCAAAAGCCUCACUCGAAGCUCCUCCACCUCCACACACCCCUUGGCGCUCCCGGCUCCGCAAGGCGCGCCUCGUUUCCCGGGGCGAUUCCCACACAAACAACUUAACCGCGCCCCCACCUCCCAUUUACAAGAGUGUGUGUUUUCUCUAGAAAUUCAGAGGCACAACUUAACACCACCAUCUCUCGCCACCCCCGAAAUCCCGCGCCUUCCCCAGAGGUUCCAGUACGCACACAGGAACACAACUUCACAUUUCCCCAAAGGAGGCGAAGGAGUCCGAGGCGGUCCUUCCCCGGCCUUCCUUACUCCCUCCUCCGGAGCCCGGUCCGGCCCGGCCCCCGGGGUUCCGAGCGAGGGCUGGAGGCGGGCUCGGUCCGCGCGCGCACUGCCUACCGCACUCGCGCCCCACACGCCCGGAGCCCCGGCUCCCGCGCGCAGCCCGAGCCGGCUCCGCGCAGCCCGGCACUCGCCAGGAUGCAGUCCGGGCCUCCGCCCCCGGCCGCCUCGAGGAGUGCAGCGAGCAGCGCUACGGGCCACCCGCCCACCCCGAAGGAUCCUUGAAAGGAAAAGCCCCAGCGCUCAGCACCCCACGUUCGCACCCCAGAACCCGCGGGGAGCGGAAAAAGCCUCGGGGCUAACAGGCUCCUAGCUCUGUCCCCAAACUUACCCGGCGCUGCGAGCACCGCUGCCGCCGCUGGAGGACGCGCCGCUGCCGGCGAGGGCCGGCUGGGGCCGGGAGGAGAGCGGCGAAGGCGCCGGGAUCGCGCAGCUCGGCUCGGCUCAGCCCGGCCCCCGCUCCGUGCCGGCCGGGGCCGGAGUCAACGCGCUGCGCCGGCGCUGCUAGCCCGCCUGCCGCCCGCCCGCCCGCCCGCCGCCCGGCUGCUAGCUCUCCCGGGCGCCCGCCGCAGCCGCCUGCUUUUUUAAUGUCCACAGACAGUGAAAAGGAACUCGGCGUUAGGGGGCUGCCGCGGUGUCGGAGGCGAGGCGAGGAAGGGAGCUGGAAUAACAAAGGGCUGGAGAGAUCACUCCUUCUACCGCCGGGAGAGAGGAGGCAACAUGAAUUCAUUCCCAAGGCUCUGGUAGUCUGACAGCCGAUGAACUCAGCCUGGAAUUCCUGAAGGCUUGGAGCCUGCAGCUCGGGUCCCCGGGACUUGAUGUGUCCGUGUGCCGUGCGGAACCUGUUUGAUUUUCCCAGGGGAAACCCUGCCUUCUCCUGCCACUGGGCACUGGGGAAGGUGCUCCUUUCCUGCCUCCUCAGCCUUCCGACCUGUCACAAGGACUGUUACUGCUGCUGCUUCCCCCACUCACCCACCCACAGGUGGCAGCUGAGUAUCUGGGGAGGGUGGGUGAUUUGCAAUCACUUCCUGACCUUUAGGGACACCCAGAGGCACCAUCCCAGCAAAUUCCUGUGGGAGGGAGUCCCUGCUUCUCAGCCUGUGGGUGGCCCAAGUUCACAGGUGGGUUGAGGGCUGCCUGAGAAAUCCUUGAAGGCCUGCUUUGGAAAGUGGGAAUUCAGCUUGCUGCCUGUUGGCUAAACCUACAGCUCACCCACCACAGCAUCCUACAGCAUUGCAAUGAGCAGAAAGCCACCCCCACGCCCAGGACUAAAAUCCCAUAGUGGAGUUUUCCAAGCAUUUAAGGACUUGGAAUGCAAGAAACCAGCCACAGCCAGCAACUGGGCCAGUUCCUGUUGCCUUGAUGACACCGGGUCAGGACACCUGGCCCUCUCAGCCUUCUGUCCAAAUCCCUCACUGAGUACCCAGAGCUGGCUAUCCCUAGGAGGUGGGGGGAUGCAGAUAACCUCAGGAUGACCAUUCAUGUUCAAAAGCUCCUGUCCAGAAGCUUCUGGCCAGUAUUUAUACCUGGGAACCAGGAAGUGACUGCAGGAACCAAGCAGGAGCCAAGCAGGAACCAGCCCAGAGCGAGUGCUAUUUGUGUACACGCCUUAUCUCCCUGCCAGACAGAGAGGCAGCACUGGCUUGUUGAAAGAGCUUGGACUUUGGAGCCGAAUGACCUGGCCCCAGCAUCCCAGCCCUGCAGGGAGCUCAUACCAACUUUGCAAGCCUCAGUUUCCUUAUCUGUGAAGUGGGACUGCUGAUAACUCCUUUCAAGAUGAUUUUGGCCAUUAAAUUUGACUAGAAAUGUAAAUUCCUUUUCCUGUUCCCAUGUGGACUGCCCUCCUUUUGGGGACAGAUUGCCUCUUUGUAGUCUUCUGUAAUGUUAAUAGUGACAAAAGUAUAUGGCUGUGCUGUGCAGGGAGUGUUGUUCUCAGAACUUACAUAGGCUAACCCAUUUCAGCCUUGCAAAAAUUGGAGCUAUAGUGUUAUGUCCAUUGAUAAAUGACAGUGUGGAAGAGCUGAGGUUUGAAUCCAGGAAAACUGGCCCCACAGCCUUGGCUGUUGGGCUCCAUGCCAUGUUGCCGUGCUAUAAGGGUUCUUGGUGGCUUGUGGAGUGGUAGAGUGCAUGACAUCUUGGCAGUCCUGUUCCUUGCCCUGACCCAAGGGGUAGGGGCAGGGAGAUGCAGGAGAC
This 3211-nucleotide long non-coding RNA is filed under the name Heterocephalus glaber (naked mole-rat). RNAcentral's name for it is "lncRNA (ENSHGLG00100042029.1)". The record is from RNAcentral. Lineage: Eukaryota; Metazoa; Chordata; Mammalia; Rodentia; Bathyergidae.